GGAAGUAUCGUAACAAGGUCUCCGUUGGUGAACCAGCGGAGGGAUCAUUACAGAGUUGCAAAACUCCCAAACCAUUGUGAACGUUACCUAUCCCGUUGCUUCGGCGGGCGGCCCGGGCCCCGCGCCCGGCGCCCCCCGGCCCCCCGUGGGCGCCCGCCGGAGGUAAACCAAACCCUUGAAUUGCAUGGCCUCUCUGAGUCUUCUGUACUGAAUAAGUCAAAACUUUCAACAACGGAUCUCUUGGUUCUG
This 249-nucleotide unclassified non-coding RNA is filed under the name plant metagenome. RNAcentral's name for it is "partial contains small subunit ribosomal RNA, internal transcribed spacer 1, and 5.8S ribosomal RNA". The record is from RNAcentral.